RNAcentral lists this ribosomal RNA (497 nucleotides) under uncultured bacterium. Its description in RNAcentral is "partial 16S ribosomal RNA". It matches the Rfam family "Bacterial small subunit ribosomal RNA", at positions 28 to 507 of the family's 1533-position model. The record is from RNAcentral.
GAUGAACGCUGGCGGCGUGCCUAAUACAUGCAAGUCGAGCGAACAGACGAGGAGCUUGCUCCUCUGACGUUAGCGGCGGACGGGUGAGUAACACGUGGAUAACCUACCUAUAAGACUGGGAUAACUUCGGGAAACCGGAGCUAAUACCGGAUAACAUGUUGAACCGCAUGGUUUAACAGUGAAAGACGGUCUUGCUGUCACUUAUAGAUGGAUCCGCGCCGCAUUAGCUAGUUGGUAAGGUAACGGCUUACCAAGGCAACGAUGCGUAGCCGACCUGAGAGGGUGAUCGGCCACACUGGAAGUGAGACAGGGUCCAGACUCCUACGGGAGGCAGCAGUAGGGAAUCUUCCGCAAUGGGCGAAAGCCUGACGGAGCAACGCCGCGUGAGUGAAGAAGGUCUUCGGAUCGUAAAACUCUGUUAUUAGGGAAGAACAAAUGUGUAAGUAACUAUGCACGUCUUGACGGUACCUAAUCAGAAAGCCACGGCUAACUACCUG